GACGAACGCUGGCGGCGCGCUUAACACAUGCAAGUCGAACGGAAAGGCCUGCUUUCCCUUGUGGAUUGCGGGUACUCGAGUGGCGAACGGGUGAGUAACACGUGAGUGAUCUGCCCCCAACUUGGGUAUAAGCCUGGGAAACUGGGUCUAAUUCCCGAUAGGACUGCAGGGUGGUGCCUGUGGUGGAAAACGAUUUUCUAGUGGUUGGGGAUGAGCUCGCGGCCUAUCAGCUUGUUGGUGGGGUAAUGGCCUACCAAGGCGGCGACGGGUAGCCGGCCUGAGAGGGUGGACGGCCACAUUGGGACUGAGAUACGGCCCAGACUCCUACGGGAGGCAGCAGCGGGGAAUAUUGCACAAUGGGCGGAAGCCUGAUGCAGCGACGCCGCGUGGGGGAUGACGGCCUUCGGGUUGUAAACUCCUUUCGACCGCGAGGAAGCCACCUGGUUGGAAGGGUGGUGACGGUAGUGGUAGAAGAAGCACCGGCUAACUACGUG
This 494-nucleotide ribosomal RNA is filed under the name uncultured bacterium. RNAcentral's name for it is "partial 16S ribosomal RNA". It matches the Rfam family "Bacterial small subunit ribosomal RNA", at positions 28 to 507 of the family's 1533-position model. The record is from RNAcentral.